UACCAGACUCCUACGGGAGGCAGCAGUGGGGAAUAUUGGGCAAUGGGCGCAAGCCUGACCCAGCAACGCCGCGUGAAGGAAGAAGGCUUUCGGGUUGUAAACUUCUUUUAUUCGGGACGAAGAAAGUGACGGUACCGAAUGAAUAAGCCACGGCUAACUACGUGCCAGCAGCCGCGGUAAUACGUAGGUGGCAAGCGUUAUCCGGAUUUAUUGGGUGUAAAGGGCGUGUAGGCGGGAAUGCAAGUCAGAUGUGAAAUCCGGAGGCUCAACCUCCGAAUUGCAUUUGAAACUGUUUUUCUUGAGUACUGGAGAGGCAGACGGAAUUCCUUGUGUAGCGGUGAAAUGCGUAGAUAUAAGGAGGAACACCAGUGGCGAAGGCGGUCUGCUGGACAGCAACUGGCGGUGAGGCGCGAAAGCGUGGGGAGCAAACAGGAUUAGAUACCCCAGUACG
RNAcentral lists this ribosomal RNA (451 nucleotides) under uncultured bacterium. Its description in RNAcentral is "bacterial SSU rRNA". It matches the Rfam family "Bacterial small subunit ribosomal RNA", at positions 329 to 793 of the family's 1533-position model. The record is from RNAcentral.